AUGGCACGCACUGUGACUUAUUUCCUCUUCGCCAACGACUCUAUACCUCUGUUCGAGGCAACGGAGGAUGGGGCGAAUGAAAUCGGUCGUAUCCUACAAGUAUAUGAAGCGGGGUCUAGUAAGUUGGUGAACCGAGACAAGUCGUCAUUUAUGUUCAGCAGAAAUACCAAGGCCACUGUAAAGAAUGUGAUUAUGCAUACUCUCGGCCUACAACAGGAAACAUCGAAUGGGAAGUACCUCGGUCUUCCUACAUACAUUGGCCGCUCAGUCAUGCAAUGUUUUGAGGAUGUUAAGGAGCGUUUGUGGGCAAGGAUUCAAGGAUGUUUGGAACACUUCCUGUCGAUGCAAGGCAAGGAAAUCAUGGUGAAGGCAGUGGCGCAAGCAAUCCCCGCGCAUGCUAUGGGUUGUUUCGACCUCACCAAGGGCAUGUGUGAAGAGCUUAGCAAUAUGAUAUGCAAAUACUGGUGGUCACAGCAGCAGGAUGAGAAGAAGAUGCAUUGGGUUGGAUGGGAAAAGAUGAAGUUACCCAAAGAAGAGGGUGGGCUAGGGUUCAGAUAUCUACACCCUUUCAACAUGGCCAUGUUGGCAUGA
This 591-nucleotide ribosomal RNA is filed under the name Triticum aestivum (bread wheat). RNAcentral describes it as "partial small subunit ribosomal RNA". Lineage: Eukaryota; Viridiplantae; Streptophyta; Magnoliopsida; Poales; Poaceae. The record is from RNAcentral.